Molecule: non-coding RNA, 65 nt
Organism: Dipodomys ordii (Ord's kangaroo rat)
Lineage: Eukaryota; Metazoa; Chordata; Mammalia; Rodentia; Heteromyidae
Source: Rfam
GGUGGCUCAGUGGCAGAGCGCUCGCCUUGCAUGCCUGAGGCCCUGGGUUCGAUUCCUCAGCACCA